Molecule: ribosomal RNA, 2733 nt
Filed under: Staphylococcus aureus
Lineage: Bacteria; Bacillati; Bacillota; Bacilli; Caryophanales; Staphylococcaceae
Description: bacterial LSU rRNA
Rfam family: Bacterial large subunit ribosomal RNA
Source: RNAcentral
GCUUUGAUCCAGAGAUUUCCGAAUGGGGAAACCCAGCAUGAGUUAUGUCAUGUUAUCGAUAUGUGAAUACAUAGCAUAUCAGAAGGCACACCCGGAGAACUGAAACAUCUUAGUACCCGGAGGAAGAGAAAGAAAAUUCGAUUCCCUUAGUAGCGGCGAGCGAAACGGGAAGAGCCCAAACCAACAAGCUUGCUUGUUGGGGUUGUAGGACACUCUAUACGGAGUUACAAAGGACGACAUUAGACGAAUCAUCUGGAAAGAUGAAUCAAAGAAGGUAAUAAUCCUGUAGUCGAAAAUGUUGUCUCUCUUGAGUGGAUCCUGAGUACGACGGAGCACGUGAAAUUCCGUCGGAAUCUGGGAGGACCAUCUCCUAAGGCUAAAUACUCUCUAGUGACCGAUAGUGAACCAGUACCGUGAGGGAAAGGUGAAAAGCACCCCGGAAGGGGAGUGAAAUAGAACCUGAAACCGUGUGCUUACAAGUAGUCAGAGCCCGUUAAUGGGUGAUGGCGUGCCUUUUGUAGAAUGAACCGGCGAGUUACGAUUUGAUGCAAGGUUAAGCAGUAAAUGUGGAGCCGUAGCGAAAGCGAGUCUGAAUAGGGCGUUUAGUAUUUGGUCGUAGACCCGAAACCAGGUGAUCUACCCUUGGUCAGGUUGAAGUUCAGGUAACACUGAAUGGAGGACCGAACCGACUUACGUUGAAAAGUGAGCGGAUGAACUGAGGGUAGCGGAGAAAUUCCAAUCGAACCUGGAGAUAGCUGGUUCUCUCCGAAAUAGCUUUAGGGCUAGCCUCAAGUGAUGAUUAUUGGAGGUAGAGCACUGUUUGGACGAGGGGCCCCUCUCGGGUUACCGAAUUCAGACAAACUCCGAAUGCCAAUUAAUUUAACUUGGGAGUCAGAACAUGGGUGAUAAGGUCCGUGUUCGAAAGGGAAACAGCCCAGACCACCAGCUAAGGUCCCAAAAUAUAUGUUAAGUGGAAAAGGAUGUGGCGUUGCCCAGACAACUAGGAUGUUGGCUUAGAAGCAGCCAUCAUUUAAAGAGUGCGUAAUAGCUCACUAGUCGAGUGACACUGCGCCGAAAAUGUACCGGGGCUAAACAUAUUACCGAAGCUGUGGAUUGUCCUUUGGACAAUGGUAGGAGAGCGUUCUAAGGGCGUUGAAGCAUGAUCGUAAGGACAUGUGGAGCGCUUAGAAGUGAGAAUGCCGGUGUGAGUAGCGAAAGACGGGUGAGAAUCCCGUCCACCGAUUGACUAAGGUUUCCAGAGGAAGGCUCGUCCGCUCUGGGUUAGUCGGGUCCUAAGCUGAGGCCGACAGGCGUAGGCGAUGGAUAACAGGUUGAUAUUCCUGUACCACCUAUAAUCGUUUUAAUCGAUGGGGGGACGCAGUAGGAUAGGCGAAGCGUGCGAUUGGAUUGCACGUCUAAGCAGUAAGGCUGAGUAUUAGGCAAAUCCGGUACUCGUUAAGGCUGAGCUGUGAUGGGGAGAAGACAUUGUGUCUUCGAGUCGUUGAUUUCACACUGCCGAGAAAAGCCUCUAGAUAGAAAAUAGGUGCCCGUACCGCAAACCGACACAGGUAGUCAAGAUGAGAAUUCUAAGGUGAGCGAGCGAACUCUCGUUAAGGAACUCGGCAAAAUGACCCCGUAACUUCGGGAGAAGGGGUGCUCUUUAGGGUUAACGCCCAGAAGAGCCGCAGUGAAUAGGCCCAAGCGACUGUUUAUCAAAAACACAGGUCUCUGCUAAACCGUAAGGUGAUGUAUAGGGGCUGACGCCUGCCCGGUGCUGGAAGGUUAAGAGGAGUGGUUAGCUUCUGCGAAGCUACGAAUCGAAGCCCCAGUAAACGGCGGCCGUAACUAUAACGGUCCUAAGGUAGCGAAAUUCCUUGUCGGGUAAGUUCCGACCCGCACGAAAGGCGUAACGAUUUGGGCACUGUCUCAACGAGAGACUCGGUGAAAUCAUAGUACCUGUGAAGAUGCAGGUUACCCGCGACAGGACGGAAAGACCCCGUGGAGCUUUACUGUAGCCUGAUAUUGAAAUUCGGCACAGCUUGUACAGGAUAGGUAGGAGCCUUUGAAACGUGAGCGCUAGCUUACGUGGAGGCGCUGGUGGGAUACUACCCUAGCUGUGUUGGCUUUCUAACCCGCACCACUUAUCGUGGUGGGAGACAGUGUCAGGCGGGCAGUUUGACUGGGGCGGUCGCCUCCUAAAAGGUAACGGAGGCGCUCAAAGGUUCCCUCAGAAUGGUUGGAAAUCAUUCAUAGAGUGUAAAGGCAUAAGGGAGCUUGACUGCGAGACCUACAAGUCGAGCAGGGUCGAAAGACGGACUUAGUGAUCCGGUGGUUCCGCAUGGAAGGGCCAUCGCUCAACGGAUAAAAGCUACCCCGGGGAUAACAGGCUUAUCUCCCCCAAGAGUUCACAUCGACGGGGAGGUUUGGCACCUCGAUGUCGGCUCAUCGCAUCCUGGGGCUGUAGUCGGUCCCAAGGGUUGGGCUGUUCGCCCAUUAAAGCGGUACGCGAGCUGGGUUCAGAACGUCGUGAGACAGUUCGGUCCCUAUCCGUCGUGGGCGUAGGAAAUUUGAGAGGAGCUGUCCUUAGUACGAGAGGACCGGGAUGGACAUACCUCUGGUGUACCAGUUGUCGUGCCAACGGCAUAGCUGGGUAGCUAUGUGUGGACGGGAUAAGUGCUGAAAGCAUCUAAGCAUGAAGCCCCCCUCAAGAUGAGAUUUCCCAACUUCGGUUAU